Non-coding RNA from Cricetulus griseus (Chinese hamster), 73 nucleotides. The record is from Rfam. NCBI's taxonomy places the organism in Eukaryota, Metazoa, Chordata, Mammalia, Rodentia, Cricetidae.
GUGGAGAUGGCUCAGUGGUUAAGAGCACUGGCUGCUCUUCCAGAGGACCUGGAUUCAAUUCCCAGCACCCACA